GGGAAGUCUUGAGCUUCUUGGAUCAAAGAGGUUAAUCUUGGCAGUCUUGAAACCUGAAAUAAACCUUCAACCGUGUUCUUGUUUUCAUGGAACUUUGAUCUUGAAACCAAAUCUGUCCAAGUUGUUUACGUUAAUUGCUGUGAAAUUGUGGUCUAAGCUAGCUGGCUAUUGUGUGAAAACACCCCAACAGAAGUCAAAAAAAAAUUUCAAGAAAGACGGCUCUAGUUUCCAAUUCUUGACCAGCCUUCAAGUUUUACCAAAUCUGAUUCAAAGGUCAAAAAAAAAAAAUUUUCAAGAAAGACGGCUCUAGUUUCCAAUUCUUGACCAGCCUUCAAGUUUUACCAAAAUCUGAUUCAAACUUGGACUUUCAAAUCUGAACAGCCCUAGUCUUGGUCAGC
This 398-nucleotide long non-coding RNA is filed under the name Coffea arabica (coffee). RNAcentral describes it as "long non-coding RNA (CARA_LNC005491)". The record is from RNAcentral. Lineage: Eukaryota; Viridiplantae; Streptophyta; Magnoliopsida; Gentianales; Rubiaceae.